AGUGUCAAAAGAAGAUUUAGGAAAACAAUCUAAAAUGUACCUUAUCCCUCAGAAAUGGAUACAUAUUAGUUUAUAGAAUCAAACUACUAGUUGAAAACUUGGAACAAAAAAAGGUAACAAAUUACAUCAUAUAUCAAACACCAUAGAACUUGUUCAUUAAAAAGUACAUAUACUGUAGAGCACUUGGCAAUCAAUAUACCAAGUAUCUGUCACACUGUAAAUAUUUCCUUAAAAGUAAAAAAGAUGAUUGCAUUAGGAGUUUUCACUUCUUAUAAGGUCCAUCUGAUACCUAUCAGUCGAUAUCUAGUUGGCGCGGCUCUUAAUAACAUCAAGUCCCAUUUCGGUUGGGUCGGUUGCUUGCAACUCAACCUGAAUUCCAUCAAGCUCUCUCUUGAAUCUUUCCUUUGUACUGGCAUAGAUCAUCUUGCUUCUCACUCUUGCUGUGUCA
Molecule: unclassified non-coding RNA, 448 nt
Filed under: Hevea brasiliensis (rubber tree)
Lineage: Eukaryota; Viridiplantae; Streptophyta; Magnoliopsida; Malpighiales; Euphorbiaceae
Source: RNAcentral